RNAcentral lists this ribosomal RNA (508 nucleotides) under uncultured bacterium. Its description in RNAcentral is "bacterial SSU rRNA". It matches the Rfam family "Bacterial small subunit ribosomal RNA", at positions 37 to 518 of the family's 1533-position model. The record is from RNAcentral.
UGGCGGCGUGCCUAAUACAUGCAAGUCGAACGGUCUUUCUAUGGAAGCUUGCUUCCACUGAGAAGAUAGUGGCGAACGGGUGAGUAACACGUGGGUAACCUGCCCAUAAGAGGGGGAUAACAUCCGGAAACGGGUGCUAAUACCGCAUAGUUUUCUUGAUCGCAUGAUCGGGAAAGGAAAGACGGCCUUUGUGCUGUCGCUUAUGGAUGGACCCGCGGCGUAUUAGUUAGUUGGUGAGGUAACGGCUCACCAAGACGAUGAUACGUAGCCGACCUGAGAGGGUGAUCGGCCACAUUGGGACUGAGACACGGCCCAAACUCCUACGGGAGGCAGCAGUAGGGAAUCUUCCGCAAUGGACGAAAGUCUGACGGAGCAACGCCGCGUGAGUGAAGAAAGGUUUUCGGAUCGUAAAACUCUGUUGUCAGAGAAGAACAAGUUGGAGAGUAACUGCUCCAGCCUUGACGGUAUCUGACCAGAAAGCCACGGCUAACUACGUGCCAGCAGCGGC